UACGUAGGGUGCGAGCGUUAAUCGGAAUUACUGGGCGUAAAGUGUGCGCAGGCGGCCAUGCAAGUCGAGUGUGAAAGCCCCGGGCUUAACUUGGGAAUUGCGCUGGAAACUACGUGGCUGGAGUGUGGCAGAGGAAGGUGGAAUUCCACGUGUAGCGGUGAAAUGCGUAGAGAUGUGGAGGAACACCAAUGGCGAAGGCAGCCUUCUGGGCCAACACUGACGCUCAUGCACGAAAGCGUGGGGAGCAAACAGG
RNAcentral lists this ribosomal RNA (253 nucleotides) under uncultured bacterium. RNAcentral's name for it is "partial 16S ribosomal RNA". It matches the Rfam family "Bacterial small subunit ribosomal RNA", at positions 524 to 776 of the family's 1533-position model. The record is from RNAcentral.